GACGAACGCUGGCGGCGCGCCUAACACAUGCAAGUCGAACGAGCGAGCGAGAGCUUGCUUUCUUGAUCGAGUGGCGAACGGGUGAGUAACGCGUGAGUAACCUGCCCCAAAGUGGGGGAUAACAUCUGGAAACGACUGCUAAUACCGCAUAGGCCCACCGUGCCGCAGGGGACAGAUGGAAAGUGAGCAAGCCGCUUUGAGAUGUCCUCGCGUCCGAUUAGCUAGGUGGUGAGGUGACGUCCCACCGAGGCGACGAUCGGCCGCCGGGCGGGGGUGUCGAGCGGCAACAUUGGGACUGAGACACGGACCAGACUCCUACGGGAGGCAGCAGGGAGGAAUAUUGCACGAGGGGAGGAACCAUGAUGCAGCGCCGCGGGGGGGAGGAAGAAGGUCUUCGGAUAGUCAGCUCCUGUUGUUGAGGAAGAGAAAGUCGCUGCCAAACAAGGAGGAGACGGCUAACAACAUG
This 466-nucleotide ribosomal RNA is filed under the name uncultured bacterium. RNAcentral's name for it is "partial 16S ribosomal RNA". It matches the Rfam family "Bacterial small subunit ribosomal RNA", at positions 28 to 507 of the family's 1533-position model. The record is from RNAcentral.